This 253-nucleotide ribosomal RNA is filed under the name uncultured bacterium. RNAcentral's name for it is "partial 16S ribosomal RNA". It matches the Rfam family "Bacterial small subunit ribosomal RNA", at positions 524 to 776 of the family's 1533-position model. The record is from RNAcentral.
GACGUAGGAUGCAAGCGUUGUCCGGAUUUAUUGGGCGUAAAGAGUUCGUAGGCGGUUUGUUAAGUCUAGUGUUAAAUAUCGGGGCUCAACCCCGGGACUGCAUUGGAUACUGGCAGACUGGAGUGUGGUAGAGGUAAGUGGAAUUUCUGGUGUAGCGGUGAAAUGCGUAGAUAUCAGGAAGAACACCGGUGGCGUAGGCGACUUACUGGGCCAUAACUGACGCUGAGGAACGAAAGCUAGGGGAGCAAAUGGG